CCUACGGGCGGCUGCAGUGAGGAAUAUUGGUCAAUGGGCGCGAGCCCGAACCAGCCAAGUCGCGUGAGGGAAGACGGUCCUAUGGAUUGUAAACCUCUUUUGUCGGGGAGCAAAAGACGCCACGCGUGGCGUUCCGAGAGUACCCGAAGAAAAAGCAUCGGCUAACUCCGUGCCAGCAGCCGCGGUAAUACGGAGGAUGCGAGCGUUAUCCGGAUUUAUUGGGUUUAAAGGGUGCGCAGGCGGAAGAUCAAGUCAGCGGUAAAAUUGAGGGGCUCAACCUCUUCGAGCCGUUGAAACUGGUUGUCUUGAGUGAGUGAGAGGUAUGCGGAAUGCGUGGUGUAGCGGUGAAAUGCAUAGAUAUCACGCAGAACUCCGAUUGCGAAGGCAGCAUACCGGCGCUCAACUGACGCUGAUGCACGAAAGUGUGGGUAUCGAACAGGAUUAGAUACCCUUGUAGUC
RNAcentral lists this ribosomal RNA (459 nucleotides) under uncultured bacterium. RNAcentral's name for it is "partial 16S ribosomal RNA". It matches the Rfam family "Bacterial small subunit ribosomal RNA", at positions 338 to 795 of the family's 1533-position model. The record is from RNAcentral.